RNAcentral lists this ribosomal RNA (253 nucleotides) under uncultured bacterium. RNAcentral's name for it is "partial 16S ribosomal RNA". It matches the Rfam family "Bacterial small subunit ribosomal RNA", at positions 524 to 776 of the family's 1533-position model. The record is from RNAcentral.
GACGAACCGUGCGAACGUUGUUCGGAAUCACUGGGCGUAAAGCGCACGUAGGCGGAUUGCUAAGUCAGGGGUGAAAUCCUGGAGCUCAACUCCAGAACUGCCCUUGAUACUGGCGGUCUCGAGUCCGGGAGAGGUGAGUGGAACUGCGAGUGUAGAGGUGAAAUUCGUAGAUAUUCGCAAGAACACCAGUGGCGAAGGCGGCUCACUGGCCCGGUACUGACGCUGAGGUGCGAAAGCGUGGGGAGCAAACAGG